GACGAACGCUGGCGGCGUGCUUAACACAUGCAAGUCGAACGGAAAGGCCUGCUUUCCCUUGUGGAUUGCGGGUGCUCGAGUGGCGAACGGGUGAGUAACACGUGAGUGAUCUGCCCCCAACUUGGGUAUAAGCCUGGGAAACUGGGUCUAAUUCCCGAUAGGACUGCAGGGUGGUGCCUGUGGUGGAAAACGAUUUUCUAGUGGUUGGGGAUGAGCUCGCGGCCUAUCAGCUUGUUGGUGGGGUAAUGGCCUACCAAGGCGGCGACGGGUAGCCGGCCUGAGAGGGUGGACGGCCACAUUGGGACUGAGAUACGGCCCAGACUCCUACGGGAGGCAGCAGUGGGGAAUAUUGCACAAUGGGCGGAAGCCUGAUGCAGCGACGCCGCGUGGGGGAUGACGGCCUUCGGGUUGUAAACUCCUUUCGACCGCGAGGAAGCCACCUGGUUGGAAGGGUGGUGACGGUAGUGGUAGAAGAAGCACCGGCCAACUACGUG
Molecule: ribosomal RNA, 494 nt
Filed under: uncultured bacterium
Lineage: Bacteria
Description: partial 16S ribosomal RNA
Rfam family: Bacterial small subunit ribosomal RNA
Source: RNAcentral